RNAcentral lists this ribosomal RNA (250 nucleotides) under uncultured bacterium. RNAcentral describes it as "partial 16S ribosomal RNA". It matches the Rfam family "Bacterial small subunit ribosomal RNA", at positions 355 to 597 of the family's 1533-position model. The record is from RNAcentral.
GGAUGAAUAUUGGACAAUGGGGGAAACCCUGAUCCAGCAAUGCCGCGUGUGUGAAGAAGGCCUGCGGGUUGUAAAGCACUUUCGGCAGGAAAGAAAAGUCAUGCGCCAAUACCGCAUGACCUUGACGUUACCUGCAAAAGAAGCACCGGCUAACUCCGUGCCAGCAGCCGCGGUAAUACGGAGGGUGCAAGCGUUAAUCGGAAUUACUGGGCGUAAAGCGCACGUAGGCGGGCAAUUAAGUCGGAUGUGA